GGAACGUUACUUAUUUAUUUGCCAUUAACAUUAACACUAGAUAUUUAUAUUGCAUUCCGGUGAAAGGGAAAACAGAACAGGAAACAAGAAGAGCUAUUCAAUACUUACUAGAUCCUAAUUGAAGUAGCGAUUAUCCAGGCUUGUAUCCUGGGGGCUGAUGAGGAGUAGGGUUUCUGGACAACUUAAACAGAUCCAGAGUUAGUCGAUCCUAAUCUCAAUAAUGGGAGAAAGGGAGUACAGUUGAUAUUCUGUAACUGACAACAGUUCGCGGCAACGCAUACUAUUUUUCUCCGCCAAUCUUAUACCGUUGGUAGGGAUCUCUUUCCUACAUGACAGUACUAAUACCCAGGGAAACUGGUCAUCAGGCGAACUGCGGCGUUCUGCUGGCAAAACAUAGCUUCGGUUAUGUCAAUGGCUAUUGGAUUGGUCCAUGAAGCGAAAAAUAGUUUACUGUGUCACUCGUACCGAUAACCGCAUCAGGUCUUCUAGGUAAGUAGCCUAUGGCCAUUGAGGCAUGAUAGUUCAGGGAAUUCGGCCAAUUAGAGCUGUAACUUCGGGAUAAAGCUUGGCUCUGAUGAAAAUCAGAACCGAUUGUUACGCGGAGAGCCCAACUGUUUAAUAAAAACGUAGUGUCGCGCUGUGGUAGUAUAGCCAGUGAACGCGACAUGAAUCCUGCUCAGUGCUGUGUCUGUUAAUAUGGUUCAAGCCAACGAAGCACCGGUAAAUAGCUGGGGUAACUAUGACUCUUAUCAAAGUAGCGAAAUACCUCGUCACUUAAUUAGUGACCUGCAUGAACGGAGCUAUGAGGGUUCUCACUGUCCCAAACUGUCUCUCAGCGAACCAACUGUAGUGGGAACGGUCACUAGAUAUCCAGCGGGGAAAGAAGACCCUGUAGAGCUUCACUUUGGU
RNAcentral lists this non-coding RNA (909 nucleotides) under Trichomonas vaginalis G3. Its description in RNAcentral is "Eukaryotic large subunit ribosomal RNA". It matches the Rfam family "Eukaryotic large subunit ribosomal RNA", at positions 665 to 2432 of the family's 3401-position model. The record is from Rfam by way of RNAcentral. Lineage: Eukaryota; Parabasalia; Trichomonadida; Trichomonadidae.